RNAcentral lists this long non-coding RNA (904 nucleotides) under Rattus norvegicus (Norway rat). RNAcentral's name for it is "long non-coding RNA NONRATT031759". Lineage: Eukaryota; Metazoa; Chordata; Mammalia; Rodentia; Muridae. The record is from RNAcentral.
UGUCACCGGAGUCGAGCAAGUAUCAGUUGGAGGCAUACAAAACUGAGGAUCUAGAGUCAAAGAACCCAGAUCCUUGAAGAUCUCUAGUAACUUCUAGCGAAUGGGAAAAUCUACAAAGCUGAUUCUUUAGCUUUGAAUGUAAACAAACAUCUGAGCUCGAGUUUCUCAGUGUUGUCUUUCCUAGGGUCAUCUGCCAUGUGUCCUGCACUCCCAGAAUCCUGUUCUCAGUCAGUGGUCUCCUUCAGCUGUUAUGGUGACCAUAACUGAUGCUCUCAGGUACUCAUGCGCUAGCUCAAGUGAAGAAUUCCCACUUGACCAUGUCCUUGAAGUCCUCAUUAGUGAUGGAACUUAUAGGCCCUGGGAUAAAGUUUAAUAACUGACAAAACAUUUCCUUACUCUUCAUCUCAUUUGACUGUCAUGUGGAUAUGACCUGUCACCUGCGAGGAAUCGCUGUGUCAGUGUGAGGGUGAAGAAAAGAGACCAGUGUGACCUGUGUGGUCCUGCCUUUGCCUGCCAGUGGGCUUUUCUUUUUCCUACUGAAGAAUGGAAUCUUUAAAAACUUGAAUUUGUACUCCAGCAGCUGAUUAAUCAUUUGUAGGAAUUUUGUUUACAGGGACCACAUUGGCUGGAGCCUUUCAGACUUUCCCCCUAAGAUCCAGGUGUGGAAAGUGAUACGUUCGCAGAGAACCGGUGAAAUUCAGCUGGCCCAGGCCAUUCAGUGUGAAUGGCAUUUGUUUGCAACUCCCCAUGCAGUAUCCACAGUGUGCCACAUGCCACCCUAUCCUGAGAGCUUCUCCAGGACACUGGAUUUUGUGGGUAUCGGAAGGGUCCUUUGGCUCUGGGCUGGAGUCAGAUGAGCUAUGAAGAAAGGUGAGGUGGGAGAAAAGAGCAGGCUGCUGUUUCC